This 509-nucleotide ribosomal RNA is filed under the name uncultured bacterium. Its description in RNAcentral is "partial 16S ribosomal RNA". It matches the Rfam family "Bacterial small subunit ribosomal RNA", at positions 37 to 537 of the family's 1533-position model. The record is from RNAcentral.
GACGAACGCUGGCGGCGUGCUUAACACAUGCAAGUCGAACGGAAAGGCCCUGCUUUUGUGGGGUGCUCGAGUGGCGAACGGGUGAGUAACACGUGAGUAACCUGCCCUUGACUUUGGGAUAACUUCAGGAAACUGGGGCUAAUACCGGAUAGGAGCUCCUGCUGCAUGGUGGGGGUUGGAAAGUUUCGGCGGUUGGGGAUGGACUCGCGGCUUAUCAGCUUGUUGGUGGGGUAGUGGCUUACCAAGGCUUUGACGGGUAGCCGGCCGGAGAGGGUGACCGGCCCCAUGGGGACGGUGGACCAGACCAGGACCGUGGGGGGGGCCGGAGUGGGGAAUAGGACACGGGGGGGGGACGACGGACGCCGCAGCGGCGGGGGCGUGUGGAGGGGCGUCGGGUUGUCCACCGCUUUCCCCUGUGACGAAUCAGGGGUGACGGUGAGGGGACCAGAAGCGCCGGCUAACUACCGGCCACCGGCCGCGGUAAUAGAUCGGCAACGCCCACCUCCUCC